AUACGUAGGGGGCGAGCGUUGUCCGGAAUGAUUGGGCGUAAAGGGCGCGUAGGCGGCCCGGUAAGUCUGGAGUGAAAGUCCUGUUUUUAAGAUGGGAAUUGCUUUGGAUACUGUCGGGCUUGAGUGCAGGAGAGGUAAGUGGAAUUCCCAGUGUAGCGGUGAAAUGCGUAGAGAUUGGGAGGAACACCAGUGACGAAGGCGACUUACUGGACUGUAACUGACGCUGAGGCGCGAAAGUGUGGGGAGCAAACAGGAUUAGAUACCCUGGUAGUCCACACUGUAAACGAUGAAUGCUAGGUGUAGGGGGUAUCGACCCCUUCUGUGCCGCAGUCAACACAAUAAGCAUUCCGCCUGGGGAGUACGGCCGCAAGGUUGAAACUUAAAGGAAUUGACGGGG
This 397-nucleotide ribosomal RNA is filed under the name uncultured bacterium. RNAcentral's name for it is "partial 16S ribosomal RNA". It matches the Rfam family "Bacterial small subunit ribosomal RNA", at positions 523 to 918 of the family's 1533-position model. The record is from RNAcentral.